AGAAGUUCCCUAGUGGGGCAGCGGAUUUAGGAUCCAGCGUUGCUGCAACUGCAGCUUGGCUCAGGUUUGGUCCCUGGCCCAGAAACUUCCACAUGCCAUGGGUGUGGCCAAAAAACCCCCAAAAACAAAACAGAGGAAAACUACCACAUAGCUAUUCAGGGCUUUGGUUUUUGAUGUUGCUCUGUGUGUGUGUAUGGGUGUUAUUUGUUAAGGAAGAAGUGCUGCAAAUUCACUGCAUAGUUAAUGUGAUUCUCAGGCAUUUCUUCUUCCUUCGUGUUACAGUGAACUGCUCCAACCUGAGGAUGAUUUGCUGUGAUAUUACUGCUACUGCUAUAGGCUGUUCUGCCCUGGACAUCUCAUGUACCAAAAAAGAGGCUGCCAGAAAUGGAGAGCAGCUCGACUAAUCCAGCCUCGGCGAGUGCUUCCUGUUUGAAAAUGAGGCGAAAGCUUAUCCGACUAUUCCUCUUGCUGUGAAAAUUUCAUCUGUUUUUAUAGAUGCGUUUUCCCAACGGGUGAUCUAGAACCUAUGAGUUAGCCAAAUGUUUCCUUUUCAUCAUUAUCUAAAGCACAGCCGAGUCUUGAAAAGACAAUUGUAUAGCUUCUUGUGUUGCUUCAUGGGCUUUAAGUGCCCACAAAGAGGAUUCCUUAUGCUUUAAUUUCUCUUUAUUUUUCUGACUGUAAAGACCCUUGGGGUAAAUGCCAGCCCCACAAUCCCGCCGUUAUAUGGUUACUGUCAGCCUGCUCCAAUGAUGCUUCCUGUUCACUAGGGCUCCUUUCAUGUGACCACAAUGUCCUGGCUUUGCUGCAAUUCUUCGUCAACGCCCAUCUCUUCAAUAGCCUGUGAAUAGUAUUAAAUGGUGUUU
This 863-nucleotide long non-coding RNA is filed under the name Sus scrofa (pig). RNAcentral's name for it is "lncRNA (ENSSSCG00035032051.1)". Lineage: Eukaryota; Metazoa; Chordata; Mammalia; Artiodactyla; Suidae. The record is from RNAcentral.